RNAcentral lists this long non-coding RNA (2073 nucleotides) under Scleropages formosus (Asian bonytongue). RNAcentral's name for it is "lncRNA (ENSSFOG00015027398.1)". The record is from RNAcentral. Lineage: Eukaryota; Metazoa; Chordata; Actinopteri; Osteoglossiformes; Osteoglossidae.
AGUGGAGGACACACUUUAAACUUCAUGGAAGAGGGAAGGGGAGAUGGUGCGAUGCAGAGUGAGGCUCAGAGAACAUCAGGAUGAUGUUGAAUUGACCAAUAGCAGUGGAAAGGGGGAGAUGAGCGGCGUGUACUCGGACACCGCACAUCAGCAUUGUGGACGACCCGCACCGUUACUCACCUUGACUCCUCACACUCACAGAAAGGAUCUGCUGUGAGAAAACGAUGGAAAAAUGAGGGCGAGACAGAAGUUACACAAAACAGCUUAAGAAGCUAUUAAUUGCUCAUCCAGGAAAUCAGAAAAGCGCAAACGUUUCUCUAGACUGUUAACAGCCUCGGAGCCUCCGCCAAAAUGCAGACUAAUAAUUUCACUUUACUUUCACUCGUUUUACUUUUUCUCCUCGAUGGUAUGAAUGAAAUCGAGGGUGUUUUAGAGAGUCCUGAAAUCAGCGUGAAUCCAUCUUCAGUGUCUGAGGGACAGUCUCUCAGGGUCACCUGUGAGGCCCCUUCAUAUCAAAGAAGUUUCCAGUGGUUUCUGUACAGAAACACAGAGGACAGUCCCUUCAUGAAAGGCACAGACUCUGGGAGUAUGUGUGACUUCACAGUCACUGGGACAAAGCUUCUUCAGGGAAAAACAUCCAAUGGAAUUUACACUGCUGUGGAGCUCAGCUGUGAGUACAGGGAUGGAGCCACUAGCUCUCAGAGGAGUAAAAGGAUGGAAGUCAAAGUGCUGGGUUCAUUGCAACCUCCCCAUCUGAAUGUCAGCUCCACUAACACCACAAAGACAGACUCAGUGCAGCUGAGCUGUGAGACUCCUCAGUCUGUCUCAGUGUCUCGUUGUCAGUUCCUGUCGGAUGGACAAACUGUCGGGGAGACGUCUUCACCCUGUCGGCGCUCCAUCACCGGGACUCAGCUGCUCAGGGGGACGAUCCACUCUGGCGACGCUCAGAUUGUAGUUCAGUGUCUGUACACUGCGGACAUAAAUGGGAUUAAUAUACCAUCACCAUCACCGCGCAGUAACAGUAUCACAGUGACAGUGACGGGGUUCCUGAUAAACUCCACAUCUGAUCCAGUGUCCACAACAAAUCUGACAGCUGUGAUCAAUGUGAGCAGCACAUUACUGCCUGAAAAUAGCUUUGUCGGUGUUACCUGUGCUGCUCCACGCACGGUGCGAGAGGCCACCUGGAGGCUCUACAGAGACACACAUACAUCUCCGGUCCUCACACGGACUGGGAAGGGGAAUCUUUUUCGGUUCUCAGUGUCUAGGAGCAACCUUCUUCAGGGAGAAACACACACUGAUGUGUACACUGUUGUACAGCUGAGCUGUGAAUACACUGAUAGCGACUCAAACACCGUCUCUCAGCGGAGCAGCAGGCGGCAGCUGAUGGUCCUGGGCAAACUGCCCCCGGCCAAACUGACACUGAGUCCCGCGAUGGUCACUGAGAGAGGCUCGGUGCAGCUGAGCUGUGAAGGACCUCAGAAUCUGCCUGUGUCUCAGUGUCAGUUCCACGCAGACAAGAAGUGGCUGACUGAGACUCCGUCGGACUGUCAGCUCUCCAUCGCUGGAGCCGAGCUGCUCAGAAGGGGGGGUCGGGGUCACAGCAUGAUCAGCGGGGUUAUUAAAGUGGACUGUCAGUACAUUGUGGGUGCUGGAUUAAAUGCACCUUCCCCACACAGUGAUGGUCUUUCAGUGACACUGCUGGUCGAGCCAAAUAUUAACGUGUCGACACACCACAAUGAGACCGUGGUUCGCUGUGAAGCCCCUCCUCCUGUCACUGGAGCCCUCUUCUACCUGCAUGAGAAAGAAGGGACACAACCCAUCACAGAGAUCCGGGCAGCAGAAGGAGAGAGAGCAGUGAUUUUCACUGUCCCUCGCAGCCCCGACACCACAGUGACCUACUGCUGCGCUUAUAAGUACCAGAACUUCAGCUCUUCGCUGAGUAACUGCACCGGAUCACAAAGUGCACAGGAGAACAAAAACAGUGGUGAGACACCUGUCACACACACACACACACACACACACACACAUACACACACACACGGGCUUUUCCUGCAUCAGUACACAUUGUAUUAA